This 297-nucleotide small RNA is filed under the name Oceanibacterium hippocampi. RNAcentral describes it as "Sneathiella sp. BFLP-8 5' ureB small RNA". It matches the Rfam family "5' ureB small RNA". The record is from Rfam by way of RNAcentral. Lineage: Bacteria; Pseudomonadati; Pseudomonadota; Alphaproteobacteria; Sneathiellales; Sneathiellaceae.
UCGUCGAUCUGCUGCGGGCAGAUGAAAUGGAUAUGCACGUCGAGGCCGCCGGCAGUGACGAUCUUGCCUUCGCCAGCGAUCGCCUCGGUCGCCGGGCCGAUGACGAUGUCGAUGCCGCGAUUGCCGGCGGACUGCACAUCCGGGUUGCCGGCCUUGCCGAUGGCGACGAUGCGGCCGUCCUUCACGCCGAUGUCGGCCUUUACGAUCCCCCAGUGGUCGAGGAUGAGGGCAUUGGUGAUCACCAGGUCGACAGCGCCCUCGGCGCGCGAGGCCUGGCUCUGGCCCAUGCCGUCGCGA